RNAcentral lists this non-coding RNA (113 nucleotides) under Desulforamulus ruminis. Its description in RNAcentral is "Desulfotomaculum ruminis SAM-I sequence". It matches the Rfam family "SAM riboswitch aptamer (S box leader)". From Rfam's summary of the family: The SAM riboswitch is found upstream of a number of genes which code for proteins involved in methionine or cysteine biosynthesis in Gram-positive bacteria. Lineage: Bacteria; Bacillati; Bacillota; Clostridia; Eubacteriales; Peptococcaceae. The record is from RNAcentral. RNAcentral also lists the same sequence under 1 other name.
CUCUUAUCCUGAGAGGUGGAGGGACUGGCCCUAUGAAACCCGGCAACCAUCCGGAAAUAUCCCGGACAGGUGCUAAUUCCUGCAGGAGAUGAUCAUCUUCUGGCAGAUAAGAG